GCCCAGAUAGCUCAGUUGGUAGAGCAGAGGACUGAAAAUCCUCGUGUCGCUGGUUCGAUACCAGCUUUGGGCACUA
This 76-nucleotide transfer RNA is filed under the name Clostridium sp. AF12-19. RNAcentral describes it as "tRNA-Phe". It matches the Rfam family "tRNA". Rfam says of the family: Transfer RNA (tRNA) molecules are approximately 80 nucleotides in length. Their secondary structure includes four short double-helical elements and three loops (D, anti-codon, and T loops). Lineage: Bacteria; Bacillati; Bacillota; Clostridia; Eubacteriales; Clostridiaceae. The record is from RNAcentral.